GACGAACGCUGGCGGCGUGCCUAAUACAUGCAAGUCGAACGAGAGCGACCGGUGCUUGCACUGGUCACUCUAGUGGCGAACGGGUGAGUAACACGUGGGUAACCUGCCCAUCAGAGGGGGAUAACAUCCGGAAACGGAUGCUAAGACCGCAUAGGUCUUCGAGCCGCAUGGCUUGAAGAGGAAAAGAGGCGCAAGCUUCUGCUGAUGGAUGGACCCGCGGUGCAUUAGCUAGUUGGUGAGGUAACGGCUCACCAAGGCCGUGAUGCAUAGCCGACCUGAGAGGGUGAUCGGCCACAUUGGGACUGAGACACGGCCCAAACUCCUACGGGAGGCAGCAGUAGGGAAUCUUCCGCAAUAGACGCAAGUCUGACGGAGCAACGCCGCGUGAGUGAAGAAGGUUUUCGGAUCGUAAAACUCUGUUGUUAGAGAAGAACAAGUGCUAGAGUAACUGUUAGCGCCUUGACGGUAUCUAACCAGAAAGCCACGGCUAACUACGUG
This 498-nucleotide ribosomal RNA is filed under the name uncultured bacterium. Its description in RNAcentral is "partial 16S ribosomal RNA". It matches the Rfam family "Bacterial small subunit ribosomal RNA", at positions 28 to 507 of the family's 1533-position model. The record is from RNAcentral.